Molecule: long non-coding RNA, 692 nt
Organism: Eptesicus fuscus (big brown bat)
Lineage: Eukaryota; Metazoa; Chordata; Mammalia; Chiroptera; Vespertilionidae
Exons: 2
Source: RefSeq, a predicted model, not a curated record
GAUGUGCUUGAAAGCGGCCUAUCGGAGAGCCUGGCACGCGGGAAGGAGCUUGUUUCAUUCAGUUCCAGACGCUGGAGCAAAGGUGGCCCAUCGCGCCCUGACUUCACUCUAGGACGUUCCGCCUCGAUAUCGAGAAGAGGAUGAUAGCAACAGGAACAAACCUGCCCGUGAGCCGUGAGAGCCCUCCCUGCCCACAGGGAGCCUGCUUGGCACCUGGGAACAGUGUGCAGAUGCCACCUGGCCCCGGAGGUAGAAUCUCAGUUCAUCUGGUGCUAAAAAGGACCUGAAACGAACACCAAAUAUAUGUUCAACCUUUAACACCUGCUACUAUUUCCAAGCCUAAGUGGAUAAGAAGAGCCUCCUGGACCUCUGUGUUCUCAUUUUCACUCUCCUGGAACCCCUCCUUCUCUCUUUCCCACUCUCAUCCUCCCCCCCGUCCCCCUUCAAGACUUCCUUAAAAUAUUUUUAAUCAACACAUUUUAUUUAAAAAUAAAUAGGCCCUGGCUGGGUGGCUCGGUUGGUUGGAGCAUCGUCCUGUACAACAAAAGGUUGCAGGUUUGAUUCCCGGGCAGAGCACAGACCUAUAUUUUAGGUUCAAUCCCUGGUCGGGGGUGCAUAUGGGAGGCAAUCGAUUGAUGUUUCUCUCUCACAUCAAUGUUUCUCUCUCUCUCUCUCUCUCUCUCUCUCUCUCU